GGGGCCGUAGCUCAGCUGGGAGAGCGCGUGAAUGGCAUUCACGAGGUCGCCGGUUCGAUCCCGGUCGGCUCCACCA
RNAcentral lists this transfer RNA (76 nucleotides) under Hydrogenibacillus sp. RNAcentral's name for it is "tRNA-Ala". It matches the Rfam family "tRNA". Rfam says of the family: Transfer RNA (tRNA) molecules are approximately 80 nucleotides in length. Their secondary structure includes four short double-helical elements and three loops (D, anti-codon, and T loops). Lineage: Bacteria; Bacillati; Bacillota; Bacilli; Thermicanales; Thermicanaceae. The record is from RNAcentral.